Molecule: ribosomal RNA, 1392 nt
Filed under: Rentapia hosii (common tree toad)
Lineage: Eukaryota; Metazoa; Chordata; Amphibia; Anura; Bufonidae
Description: partial 16S ribosomal RNA
Rfam family: Bacterial large subunit ribosomal RNA
Source: RNAcentral
ACUAAAAACCUAGCCCAGUUCUACAUAAUUAAACAAAGUAAACUAAACCCCUUUAAUAAAACAUUUUAACAUUCUAGUAAAGGAGAUAGAAAAAUUUAUUGGAGCUUUAACAACAGUACCGCAAGGGAACGGUGAAAUAUUUAGUGAAAAAUUUUUAAGUAGUAAAAAGUAAAGAUUACCUCUUGUACCUUUUGCAUCAUGGUUUAACUAGUCUAAUCAAGCAAAACGUUUUUAAGUUUGACCUCCCGAAACUAAGUGAGCUACUUCAGGGCAGCUAGAAGAGCAAACCCGUCUCUGUGGCAAAAGAGUGGGACGACCCUCAAGUAGCGGUGACAGACCUAACGAACUUAGUGAUAGCUGGUUGCUCAAGAAACGGAUUUAAGUCCAGCCUGAAGUUUUAUUUAUAGUCCAUUAAAACCACCAAUUAAUCUUCAGAGUAAUUCAAAUAAGGUACAGCCUAUUUGAAACAGGAUACAACCUAAAUUAAUGGAUAAGAUAAGCCACCCCUACAACCAAGUGGGCCUAAAAGCAGCCAUCUUUAAAAUUGCGUCAAAGCUUAACUGUAUGCACGCUAAAUUACCUAAUUACCAUCUUAAUCCUUUCUUUAUAUUGAGCAAUUCUAUAAAAAUAUAGAAAAUUUUAUGUUAAAACUAGUAACAAGAAGAAGAUCCUUCUCUUAAAUGUAAGUGUAAAUCAGAAAGGACAAACCACUGAUAAUUAACACCUGUGAGCCUAAAGUAGCAACCAACCAAGAAAAUUCUACUUCUACUAACGUUAACCUAACACAAGAACAUUUUAAGAAAGAUUAAAAGAAAAAGAAGGAACUCGGCAAACAUUAACCCCGCCUGUUUACCAAAAACAUCGCCUCUUGUAUUACAUAAGAGGUCCAGCCUGCCCAGUGACUCUGUUCAACGGCCGCGGUAUCCUAACCGUGCGAAGGUAGCGUAAUCACUUGUUCUUUAAAUGAGGACUAGUAUGAAUGGCACCACGAGGGUUAUACUGUCUCCUUUUUCUAAUCAGUGAAACUAAUCUUCCCGUGAAGAAGCGAGGAUGAAACUAUAAGACGAGAAGACCCUAUGGAGCUUUAAACAACACGGCACUUGCCUUUCAAUACAAAAUUUUCUGAAUUCUAAUUUUUUGGGCAACAUGACUGUAAGUUUUUGGUUGGGGUGACCACGGAGCAUAAUACAACCUCCACGUUGAAAAACUAUCUAAACUAAGAUCUACCCAUCUAAGUAUCAACAUAUUGACAUUCAUUGAUCCAAUAUACUUGAACAACGAACCAAGUUACCCUAGGGAUAACAGCGCAAUCUACUUCAAGAGCCCCUAUCGACAAGUAGGUUUACGACCUCGAUGUUGGAUCAGGGUCUCCUAGUGGUGCAGCCGCUACUA